This is an RNA transcript of Anolis sagrei ordinatus, 804 nucleotides long. It is a transcript of the gene named transmembrane protein 233, with no coding region annotated. The record is from RefSeq and is a predicted model, not a curated record. Lineage: Eukaryota; Metazoa; Chordata; Lepidosauria; Squamata; Anolidae.
AGUGUGAGGUAAACCUCUGUGUGAGAGAAGCCUCAUUUGAGAAAGCUCCAGUGCAAAGGCUGCUGUGUGUAACGCUACUAUGUAUUCGUUUAUUUGUGUUAUGGAAACCUUGUUCUUGUAUGUAGUGCAACCAUAUUAUUUUACUACAGAAGGUCCAAAGACUGCAAUUUUCUAGGCGUGGAAACAGAUUCACAAACUGAUAAAAACCCAAUGAAACUAGGACAGUGUGCAAUGCAAGAUGCACAGGAACAAGGGUCAGGAGGAGAAUGCAAACAGAGUCGAAUCCAGAAGAGUGUCAGGUAAACCUCUGUGUGAGAGAACCCUCAUGUGAGUGAGUUUGGAGACUAGAACCAAGCCUGUCCUACCUUGCAGGGUUGUUGUUGUUGUUUCUAUAAUGGAUAGGAAGUCGUGGACCAAAAGAUAGAUUUUGACUGAUUCCAAGACUCUGUGAACAUUACAAUCCACUUCCUGGAGUUUGCUGGAUCCCGGUGUUGCUAAUGGAGCGAUAAUGGCUUCUUCUCUUUCCAGGAACAGCGGGCAGCAGGGAGACCUGGACGGCGCACGGCGCCUGGGACGAGUGGCCCGCUUCCUCAGCCUCCUCUCCAUCCUCCUGGGCUCCGUCAUUAUCCUCACCUGUUCCCUCAACUUCGCAGGUCUCCUGAAGGCCAACUGAAGCGGAAGGAAGGCCAAGAAGAUGGCCUGCAACGCAUGGGACAAAGGCAACGAGACCCUUGGAUUUCCUAAAGAUGGACAAAUGGACGAACAGAUGGAGAUGGAGGGCUUUCUCAUUUAUUGCAGACUCCU